This 147-nucleotide microRNA precursor is filed under the name Triticum aestivum (bread wheat). RNAcentral describes it as "miR167c stem-loop (tae-MIR167c)". Its record names the gene tae-MIR167c. The stretch from base 8 to 137 matches the Rfam family "MIR167 microRNA precursor family". The record is from miRBase by way of RNAcentral. Lineage: Eukaryota; Viridiplantae; Streptophyta; Magnoliopsida; Poales; Poaceae.
CCUUUGCUGGUGUGAGAGACUGAAGCUGCCAGCAUGAUCUGCUCAUCCAGCAUGCGCCGAAACCGCGUUCGGUUGCGCGGGGUUAUCUUGGAAUUUUUGCUCCAUCAGAUCAUGCUGCAGCUUCAUUUUCUCACGGCCACCAACAGA